RNAcentral lists this ribosomal RNA (84 nucleotides) under Heliconius melpomene (postman butterfly). Lineage: Eukaryota; Metazoa; Arthropoda; Insecta; Lepidoptera; Nymphalidae. The record is from RNAcentral.
ACGUCCAUACCACGUUGAACACACCGGUUCUCGUCCGAUCACCGAAGUUAAGCAACGUCGGGCGCGGUCAGUACUUGGAUGGGU